UGGUUGUCCAUGGUCUGCACACUUUCAGAGU
RNAcentral lists this non-coding RNA (31 nucleotides) under Mus musculus (house mouse). Lineage: Eukaryota; Metazoa; Chordata; Mammalia; Rodentia; Muridae. The record is from RNAcentral.